This 24-nucleotide non-coding RNA is filed under the name Drosophila melanogaster (fruit fly). The record is from RNAcentral. Lineage: Eukaryota; Metazoa; Arthropoda; Insecta; Diptera; Drosophilidae.
CACAAGGCAAAAAGGAUGACCUUC